Molecule: long non-coding RNA, 3488 nt
Filed under: Sus scrofa (pig)
Lineage: Eukaryota; Metazoa; Chordata; Mammalia; Artiodactyla; Suidae
Description: lncRNA (ENSSSCG00005020951.1)
Source: RNAcentral
UUUUUUUUAAUUAAAGAAUAGUUGGUUUACAAUGCUCUGUCAAUUUCUGCUGUACAGCCAAGUGACCCAGUCAUAUGUAUAUGUACAGUCUUUUUCUUAUACUAUUUUCUAUCAUGUUCUAUCACAAGUGAUUGGAUAGCAUUCCCUGUGCUAUACAGCAGGACCUCAUUGCUUAUCCAUUCUAAAUGUAAUAGUUUGCAUCUACUGACCCCAAACUCUCAGUCCAUCCCACUCCCUCCCCGUCCCCCUUGGCAACCACCAGUCUGUUCUCUAGGUCCCGGCUUGUCCUGCUUAGCAUAACGCCCUCAAAGCUCAUGUUGUUGCAAAUGGCAGGAUUUCUAUCUUUCUCUGGGCUGCAUGAUAUUCCACCGUGUAUACGACCACAUUGUCUUUAUUCAUCCAGCAGUGGACAUGUAGGUUGCUGCUGUGUCUUGGCAGGAUGGGCAGAGGGAAAAACUGGGCUGUGAGUCAGUCUCAGGAAGCUCCAGCCAAUUCUACAGAGGCCUCUGAAGCUAGAAGGACCCUUCAGGGUUGUGAGUUGAGGUCCUUCCAAGGAUUCUACGGGUUGGUUUCAAGGCUGUUCCCUCCCACAGCAAUGCCUGCCUUUCUUUCUGGAGCCUGGAGACUGUGUGUUUACCAGCUGUCCCAUUCCUUCAUCCUUCCAGCUCCACUUGUUCAUGGCAUGGCUGUCUUCCUCUGCCGGUAUCUGCCUCUGCUCAGUAACUUCGUGGGCUUGUCUUCGCAUCUCUCUUGGCUGGGGGCCAGUUUCCCGCAGUCUGUACACGCUCGUUUUCUGCAAAAGGUAAAAAUUUUCUAUCCCUGAACAUCAUGUUUUACUUUAUUAAAAUACUGUCAAAUCCAGUUCUUGGCAGAGGAUGCUCUGGGCUGUAUGUAUUGGCACUAUUGUUAUCUCCUUAAGCAGAGGGGAAAGAAAUCAGAGCUAUUUAAUGAGGUCCAAAGCCAAGGCUGUCCCUGGAGUUCCCGUCGGUCUUUGCCUUUUCAAAUUACAAUCGAAACUAUUUUUGUGUGUUGAGAGAAACAGAACACAGGACUCUUUUUGAAGAAGGGAAUGGCUGUCUUUCUCCGGAGGAGGCCGAUUAGCUUCUCUCCUGCAGGAGUCAGGAGCUCCCCUGUGUCCUGUCAGAUGUGAAGUUCAGCCCCUGCAGCAUUUGGAAGAGUUUGUUUCUUGUUUGGAAGCCAUCGCUAGCCUAACGCAUCAUGAGUCUGGGGCCAAGAGUCACGUUUCUCCAACUCACCACUCCUACCCAGAUUUCCUCUUUGCAAAGUCAGGUUCCCUUAAGGUUCAAUUUAUUCUGUCUGGUCAAACUCCACGGUUCCCCAGCAGGUUAAGAAAGGGGAAGAAGAGGGCGUCAGGACGUGGGGGAAAUGAUAACAUUAGACUGUGGGUCAGUGACUGAGAGCCUCUGUGUACAGACAAGGUUCUUUAUAUUUUUGUCAAGCUCACCAGUGCUUUCACACCCUCAUGUUCGUUCACUUGAGCUGCCAACAUCCCAAGGAGAAUUGGCAGUAGUGGUUUCCAUUUAAGACCAAAACUGUCUGCAUUCAUUUGCGCCUUCUUGGAGAGUGAGGGGCAUGUUUCAUAAGCAGUGAUGAUUUCUUUUGAGCAAACACCUUGAUGAGCUGAGGCUGAGACAGGCAAACCCCCUGAGCCCAGCCUGGGAGGCAGAGAUGAGUUCAAGGAAGCACCAGAUUUGCUCUGCCUGAUCCAGUGAGAGAAAUGUGGGUUUCUUUUCUUUUUUUUUCCUAGGGCCACACCCGUGGCAUAUGGAGAUUCCCGGGCUAGGGGUCUAAUUGGAACUGCAGCCACCAGCCUACGCCACAGCCACAGCAACGUGGGAUUCGAGCUGUGUCUUCGACCUACACCACAGCUCAUGGCAACACCGGAUCCUUAACCCACUGAGCGAGGCCAGGGAUUGAACCUGCGUCCUCAUGGUUCCUAGACGGUUUUGUUAACCACUGAGCCACGACGGAAACUCCCAAUUGUGGGUUUCUUAAGGUAGCCCCAGAAAGAGAGAGAAAGCCCAGGGGCCUUACGAAAGCCUACAAGAUUCCUUUACCUUGUUCUCUGCUUGAAGGUACUUGGUGCAUAGUAAAUGCUCAGUAAAAUGUUUGCUAACUCCACCAAGUGAAGGGGGGGAUGUAAGGAACUGCUGGGGAGGGUCCGGAUAGAGUUCUCAUCAUUUAGGGUCUGGGAUUUCUAGCCAUUCAACUUGAACAUCAGAGGGAUGAGAGACCUAGAAAAACUGGAAAAGAUUGGAAUGAGAACCUUUGGCUUACAUUCAUUUUACAGAUAUAAAAGCCUUCUCUGGACUCAGCGUUCAUAUCUGAAAAACGGCCUUACAGAUAUGAUCUAUAAAAUGAUUCUGCCUAAAGCUACUAUGAAAUUUGAGUGGGAGAAGUAGGGCUUGACCCACAUCAUCCUGCUCUGAGUUUUGCCCCGAUUAUUUGUUGCACAGGUGGGCACCUUUUGUCUGUCCCUUCCUAGGCUCAAACCCCUUCUUUUUGGACCAUAGCUCCACUUUGCUGAAGUGCAAAAGGAGAUAGAAUCCUGCAGUCAGGUCCCAAGGGCCUAUUUACUGACCUAUUGUGAAGGCGCCUGUUCUCCAAGAAAACUGAAUGCUUUAAAAGGGGGAGUGAGUUAUCAAUAUAGCCAACUGGCCAUGGAUUGGCCGGUGAUCUAUUUCAAGGGCACUAUUGGCAUGAAAUAUAGGUCCAUGCCAUUCCCUGCUUAUGACUCAUUUGUCUCUCUAACAGUCUCUCUUUGUUUUUCUUUUUUAAUUUUCCCCCCUUUUAGGGCCACACUUGCAGCAUAUGGAAGUUCCCAGGCUAGGGGUGGAAUCAGAGCUGCAGCUGCCGGCCUACACCAUAGCAAUACCAGAUCCUUAACCCACUGAGCAAGGCCAGGGAUGAAACCCGUGUCCUCAUGGACACUAGUUGGGUUCCUUACCGCUGAGCCAUGACGGGAACACCCACCCGUUUUAUUAAGCCCUAUUUUUCCUAUCACUCUGAUUAAUAAACCAGAGAUUUGUUAGAGAAACACUUUUCCACUAACUGGGGAACUCAUUAGACUGAAGAUAAUCGUGACAGCUUCAGGCCGGCACAUCUGUGGCAUGUGGAAGAGAACAGAGAAACCUGUGGAAGGGUGAUCCUUGUCCCACUGCAGACUUCCUAAUCUAUUUUCCCUACUUCUUCAGUCUUAUGAAAAACUCAUUGAAUAGACUGAACUUUUCGAGCUAAAUUAAAAAAAAAAAAACAAAAACCAAAAAAACGUUUCCUCUUUGCCUGCAAUUGUUCUACAACACAUUUCCCACUCCUUUCCCUUCGUGGUGUGUCCGGCAGAGCUGAAGCCUUGGUGUAAACGUUCACGAUCCCAUUGAAUUGAAUGCCUUCUUCCCUCCUUGCCCAGCCUGGCUUCAUCCUGGGGGACCUGGAAUGUGUGGGGCUGACCUUCUCUUCCACAUGCUUCC